GAUGAAGAACGCAGCGAAAUGCGAUAAGUAAUGUGAAUUGCAGAAUUCAGUGAAUCAUCGAAUCUUUGAACGCACAUUGCGCCCCCUGGUAUUCCGGGGGGCAUGCCUGUUCGAGCGUCAUUACAACCCUCAAGCUCUGCUUGGUAUUGGCCCCCGCCAGUUCUGGCGGGCCCUAAAGUCAGUGGCGGUGCCUUCCGGCUCCGAGCGUAGUAAUUCUUCUCGCUCUGGAGACCCGGUUGUGUGCUUGCCAACAACCCCCAAUUUUUUAAGGUUGACCUCGGAUCAGGUAGGGAUACCAGCUGAACUUAAGCAUAUCAAUAAGCGGAGGA
Molecule: unclassified non-coding RNA, 329 nt
Filed under: soil metagenome
Description: partial contains 5.8S ribosomal RNA, internal transcribed spacer 2, and large subunit ribosomal RNA
Rfam family: 5.8S ribosomal RNA (bases 1-120)
Source: RNAcentral